Molecule: long non-coding RNA, 686 nt
Organism: Salvator merianae (Argentine black and white tegu)
Lineage: Eukaryota; Metazoa; Chordata; Lepidosauria; Squamata; Teiidae
Source: Ensembl
UGCACACAGAACACUUGAGCAAUAUAUAUUUUGAUCCUACGUUUCUAGUUACACUUCUCACCCAAGAAAUCUGAGCAUCAGAAGAAGACAGUGUGAUACCCAGGGAGGAAUGGAAUGGAAUUCUAUAAUGGAAUCUCCAGUGCAGUUGUGACAUUCUGCACAGCAUGGGACAAGAUGACUAAGAAUUUCAGAAGUGAUCAUCCCUUAUUUUAAAAUGGUUCCUGCUUUCUGCUGUCUGCUUGCAUUGCUGAUCUCCCAGCAAUGGACGCAACAACAAGACAGCAGCAAUGGUGCCAUGGCUGGGGAAGGAUGGUGCUCAUGCUGUCUCAGAGACCUUCUACUUGUUGCUGCUACCUGCCCCUCUCAGUGGUACACCCUGCCUGCCACCACGACCAUCACCCUCACUUCAAACGCACCAAGCAAACUCUCCCAUGAACCAUUGCUGUGGUCAGAGGUUCAGGUGUGGGUCAAGAUCGCAUGGUGCCCAGGGCUUUCAAGUUACAUACUGUUAAGUCUCAAUAAAGAAUCAGGCAUGUUGUAACCAAGAUCUGAUUUAUUUAGAUGAGGUUGUAACAUCCACACUUCAGCUAUCAACUGCUAACUCCCAACUGACAAAGGCGCGCGCGGUGGCCUCUAUUUAUACAUUCUCCUAGUGCUGGAGGUGUGGCUUUGACAGCCGUUUGUUU